GCAGGAUGGAGAGCAGGUGCUACGGCUGCGCUGUCAAGUUCACCCUCUUCAAGAAGGAGAUUGGCUGUAAGAACUGUGGCCGGGCCUUCUGUUCCAGCUGCCUUAGCUUCAGUGCAGCGGUGCCCCGGGCCGGGAACACCCAACAGAAAGUCUGCAAACAGUGCCACGAGGCCCUGACCAGAGGAUCUUCUCCUGCCAGUGCCUCCAAGUGGUCACCACCUCAGAACUAUAAGAAGCGUGUGGCAGCCUUGGAAGCCAAGCAGAAGUCCAGCACUCCCCAGAGCCAUGGACUGACCCCACAAGACCAAGCCAUCGCUGAGCGCCUAGCACGGCUCCGCCAGGAGAACAAGCCCAAGUCAGUGCCCUCACAGGCAGAGAUAGAAGCCAGGCUAGCCGCACUGAGGGGCGAAACCCAGAGUUCCAUCGCUUCCACCCAGGAGAUGGAGGCACGGCUUGCCGCACUGCAGGGCAGAGUUCCACCUUCUCAGACCCCCCAGCCGGCGCAUCAGCCACCAGACACCAGGACCCAGGCCCAGCAGGCGCAGGAUCUGCUGACACAGCUCACAGCAGAAGUGGCUAUUGAUGAGAGCUGGGAUGGAGGAAGCCCAGCUGCCGCUAUUCAGAAUGACCUCAACCAGGGUUGGCCAGGCGGCCUGAGUGCUAAUUCCAAGGGGCAGGCCACCCGGUCCCUGGAUGGAGAGAAGAGCAGGCUGCUGGCUGAAGCUGCGGUCGAGCUGCGGGAGGAGAACACGAGGCAAGAGCGGAUCCUGGACCUUGCCAAGCGCCUGGCUGUGCUUCGGGGACGGGACCCUGACAGAGUGACCCUCCAAGACUAUCGCCUCCCAGACAGCGAUGACGAUGAGGAUGAGGAGACGGCCAUCCAGAGAGUCCUGCAGCAGCUCACUGAAGAAGCUGCCCUGGAUGAGGCAAGUGGCUUUAACAUCCCGGCAGAGCCAACACUCCAACCCCCGGCCAAAUCCUGCAGGGCAGAGCCUCAGGCCCAGGCUCUGGCCCCCAGGCCUGAAGCUGAGGAGGAGCAGCUCCCCUGGUGCUGCAUCUGCAAUGAGGAUGCCACCUUGCGCUGUGCUGGCUGCGACGGAGACCUCUACUGUGUCCGCUGCUUCCGGGAAGGCCAUGAUGCCUUUGAACUUAAAGAGCACCAGACAUCUGCUUACCACCCCCCACAUGCAGGCCAAGGACACUGAGGACACCCCGGCCUCCCAGGAAGGUCGUCCUACAGGCAGUCACACAGGCUGGGGCACCCACCUCUGGGCCCAGACUUGGGGCAUCUGAUGGGAGAGCAUUUCAAGCUAGACUGCUCAUGGGUGCACCCUUUCCUGAGCCUCCAUGUCCAUGAAGGGGGAAGGAUUCUGCAUUGGAAAUGGUGGCCGGAGGAGCCGAGGGAAGGCAGGAGUCAGGAGCCCUCCACCAGCAAAGCCUGGACUGGAAAGACCAGACUGAAUCUAAGAAUGAGCCUUGAAACCUGCUCAAGCGCCCCAGCACUUAAUGUAUCAAAUAAACACAGACAUGCUCCACACUCCAUUCAGCUGGGACUCCUAAAGGUUUUAUCCACUUGGCUGUCAAGGAAAACACUGGGCAGCAGCCAUGACUGGCUCCCAGAAAGCCCAACUGACAGGAACCAGCUGUGACUGUACAUGCAGCAGGGGUGGCACAUGUGACCUCCU
RNA transcript from Myotis lucifugus (little brown bat), 1685 nucleotides. It is a transcript of the gene named zinc finger FYVE-type containing 19, with no coding region annotated. The transcript has 12 exons. The record is from RefSeq and is a predicted model, not a curated record. NCBI's taxonomy places the organism in Eukaryota, Metazoa, Chordata, Mammalia, Chiroptera, Vespertilionidae.